GACGAACGCUGGUGGCGUGCUCAACACAUGCAAGUCGAACGGGAUUUAGUAAACAGAAGCCUCGGUGGAAGAUUACUAAUGAGAGUGGCGAACGGGUGAGUAACGCGUGAGCAACCUGCCUAUGACAGUGGGAUAGCCUCGGGAAACCGGGAUUAAUACCGCAUAAAAUCGUAGAAACACAUGUUUUAACGGUCAAAGAUUUAUCGGUCAUAGAUGGGCUCGCGUCUGAUUAGCUAGUUGGUGAGAUAACAGCCCACCAAGGCGACGAUCAGUAGCCGGUCUGAGAGGAUGAACGGCCACAUUGGAACUGAGACACGGUCCAAACUCCUACGGGAGGCAGCAGUGGGGAAUAUUGCACAAUGGGGGAAACCCUGAUGCAGCGACGCCGCGUGAACGAAGAAGGUAUUCGUAUCGUAAAGUUCUGUCCUAUGGGAAGAUAAUGACAGUACCAUAGAAGAAAGCUCCGGCUAAAUACGUG
This 478-nucleotide ribosomal RNA is filed under the name uncultured bacterium. RNAcentral describes it as "partial 16S ribosomal RNA". It matches the Rfam family "Bacterial small subunit ribosomal RNA", at positions 28 to 507 of the family's 1533-position model. The record is from RNAcentral.